AUUGAACGCUGGCGGUAUGCUUAAGACAUGCAAGUCGAACGGUAACAGACCUUCGGGUGCUGACGAGUGGCGGACGGGUGAGUAACACGUGGGAAUCUACCUUGUAGUGGGGGAUAAGCCAGGGAAACUUGGACUAAUACCGCAUACGCCCUAAGGGGGAAAGGAGCAAUUCGCUAUAAGAUGAGCCCGCGUCUGAUUAGCUAGUUGGUGAGGUAAAGGCUCACCAAGGCGACGAUCAGUAGCUGGUCUGAGAGGAUGACCAGCCACAUUGGGACUGAGACACGGCCCAGACUCCUACGGGAGGCAGCAGUCGGGAAUAUUGGACAAUGGGGGGCAACCCUGAUCCAGCAAUACCGCGUGUGUGAAGAAGGCCUGCGGGUUGUAGAGCACUUUUAGUAGGGAAGAUAAUGACGUUACCUACAGAAAAAGACACCGGCUAACUCCGUG
Molecule: ribosomal RNA, 447 nt
Filed under: uncultured bacterium
Lineage: Bacteria
Description: bacterial SSU rRNA
Rfam family: Bacterial small subunit ribosomal RNA
Source: RNAcentral